Molecule: non-coding RNA, 45 nt
Filed under: Schistosoma haematobium
Lineage: Eukaryota; Metazoa; Platyhelminthes; Trematoda; Strigeidida; Schistosomatidae
Source: RNAcentral
AUCCAGCUGAUGAAUCCCAAAUAGAACGAAACACGCAUUUUGGAU